This 574-nucleotide ribosomal RNA is filed under the name uncultured Thermoplasmatales archaeon. Its description in RNAcentral is "bacterial SSU rRNA". It matches the Rfam family "Archaeal small subunit ribosomal RNA", at positions 339 to 916 of the family's 1478-position model. The record is from RNAcentral. Lineage: Archaea; Methanobacteriati; Thermoplasmatota; Thermoplasmata; Thermoplasmatales.
UUACGAAAACUUGGCAAUGCGGGAAACCGCGACCAGGGGACUCCAAGUGCUAAUACUUUGUAUUAGCUGUUCUUCUGUCUAAAAAACAGGAGAAGUAAGGGCUGGGUAAGACGGGUGCCAGCCGCCGCGGUAAUACCCGCAGCCCGAGUGGUGGUCAUUAUUAUUGAGCCUAAAGCGUCCGUAGCCGGACUCGUAAAUCCUUGGGUAAAUCGGGCAGCUCAACUGUCCGAAUUCCGAGGAGACUGCGAGUCUUGGGACCGGGAGAGGUUAGAGGUACUCCAGGGGUAAGGGCUAAAUCUUGUAAUCCUUGGGGGACCACCAGUGGCGAAGGCGUCUAACUAGAACGGAUCCGACGGUAAGGGACGAAACCCUGGGGCGCAAACGGGAUUAGAAUACCCCGGUAGUCCAGGGCUUAAACGCUGCAGAUUUGGUGUCGGGGGUCCUACGAGGGCACCCGGUGCCGGAGAGAAGUUGUUAAAUCUGCCGCUUGGGGAGUACGGUCGCAAGCUGAAACUUAAGGAAUUGGCGGGAGAGCACCGCAACGGGAGGAGCGUGCGGUUCAAUUGGAUUCAAC